UGCAUCAAAAAUCGUCGACGUCCAAAUCGUCGACUUCUAUCGUUUUUAUCGACUAUCGUUCAUUUCCGACUAGUUGCAUUGGUAUUAGUGACAACAUGGAAUUUGAUAAUCCAAAAUAAAACGAUCAAUCGCGCACAAGCUGAAGCAUCGUUCUUCAGGUGGUUCUCGCAGUACUGUUUAUACGAAACUUUUACCGAGAAUUAUUACACGUUUUUAUUUUGAAUUUAAUUUUUAUACCUAUUGCCUGUGAGGACAACAAAUCCGAAGACGAGAUGCUCGUGGUGAUGCCGGACAAAUUGACAUACGGAGAGUCCGGAAGCUGCUUUCAUGAAUCCAGAUUGUACCUCACAUCGGUUGGCGAGCUGGAAUUGGAUUGGAUCGUGGCUUUGAUAUCGAGCUGGACGACAAUGUUGCCGCUUGGUGCGAGAGCUUCCCCGAUAAUUGUAAGACAUUCAAGGGACCGCUGAUUUGCCAGCGACUGCAGAUAUCCUAUAUGAACACGCGAAAUCCAUAUAAGUGGUCACUGAAUCUGUGUGCUGACUGUCCGGACCGUAUAGCAAUUAGCUGUCGUACACGGAGCAGGAGGAAAUGCUGCCUAGUGUUCUGGUUAAUUGUGGACUACGGUCUCGCGAGUUUUUUUAUCCCGAUAGUACAAAGUACGGGCGAUAAUUGCUCGAAAGCACAGAGGCUGGCAAGAUUGCGUUUAGAACUGGAUCUGUUAGAUGGAUUCGAUGAGCACGACUGUGAUGCCACUGUUUAUGCAACACGAUAUCGAUUGCGGAAGACUGCCUGAACAUGGCCGUAAUGUUGCAGAGGCUCGUCGUCGGGACACUGUUUCGGAAACAGAACGCGAACUGCAGCUGGAACUGGUGUGUCUGUUCCAACUUUAAGGAACAACCGGAGGCUAUCCAUUGGGCCUCCCCCAAUCUUCCCCUACUUUGCUGAGAAACCAGUAACUACUCGGCAAGACAUCGAGGGCGAACAAUGGGAUGCCCGCGAGAGUGAACCCGCGCAUGCGCUCCGGCUGGACGAAUUCCAGGUUCAUCUGGUGGACACGAAGGACAAAAUUUCUCGCCAUGCUAUCGGAACUCAGCCGGCAGUCGGUGAUUACCGACCUUAACCGGUGCAAACAAGAUUUCCCACAUUCAGCUGGCCACGUGGGACGAUGUGUACAUGAUCCAUAUGCUGGUCAGCCAGCUGGAGCCGUCGGAUUGAGCUACCUUGUUGAAGAAUGUGUUCAACCAGGAUUUUCUAAGCUGUCGUUGGCUACUUCCAUCAAUAUUCCCAUGUUCAGAAAGCAAUGCUGUCUUUCAAUGUGAUGUAAGUAUAGGAAUAAAUCCUCGAAGACAUCGGCGAUACACUAGGUGUUUGUUUUACACGGGGGAUACCUAUAGGUAUACCGUGUAAAAAACUGAGGGAAAUCUGAAAAUAUUGAAAAUGUCCUCACCUUCAGAUAUCCGAGGAUUGAUUCAGAGAGUUCAGGCAGAAAGAGAGGGGAUAAUGUAGCAAGGGUGGGUUCUUGGGGUUAGUGUGGAGGGGGGCAAGGGAUGAUUGAAGGGUUUGGAGGAGAGAAUGGAGUACUGGUUUUAAGGAGGGUUUCAGAGGAUUUUUAGAAAUGUUGAAGGUAUAGACGAACGAAGCUUAAGAUCAAGGAGACUGUCACGAAGUGUUCAAGAGUAUAUAAGGCUUUGUUUGGGUGGGACAUAAGGUUCAGGAGUGUAGGGGUGUUCCAGGAAAUUUUUAUCAGAUCUACAUAGGUUUUCUAUGGAUUUUUGUUAUCACUCUGCAGAUGCGCAACAUUCUAUAGGUCUAUGCAACAUGGUUCAUUAGAGAGUUAUGUCCUUAAAUGUUGAAGGUCCUCCAUAAACUCUCGCGAAUAUAGGCAUCAAGGUCUACAAGCGUAAUCAACAGAUUUUUUUUUACUUAAUCAUUUAUUUAAGGCUCAUGCGCCAACAGGCAUAACGGAGCCGAUUGCAUUGUUCUUUAAAGAGAAAAAUUCCAAAGAUAUUCUAGGUCCUCCAAGGACUUCCGCGAGUAAAGGUCUUAAGAUCUACAAGGGUAAUCGAUAGAUUAUAUACACCAGAGGUUCCCAAACAUCUUUUAACAGAGAAUUUUUAUUAUUUUCGAACAAUUUUUAAUUCAAACAUUUAAAUGCAAAAUUGUGAAGAACUUUCAGUACCUUGUUUCCUCAAAAUCCAAUUAAAACUGAAUUUCUUGGGUCAAAACGUGUUUUCAAUAAAAAAUGCUUUAAUUUAUCAUAAAUAUUUGUUAGAUUUCAAAUGUCAUAUUUAUUUAUUAAACAAAGCAAACCAAUAUGUCAAAAAUUUCUCCAGAUAAAGCGAGCUGCUAAUGCCUCAUAAUUCAAGAAAAAAAGACAGUAAAACUGUUGCAAUGCUUUAAUGAUUUCGGGUACAUUUAAAUUAUUUCACUGAAUUUAAGGUUUUUAAUUUUUGUUGAAAUUACAAAAUUUUCAAAAACGGUUUGUUAAGAAGGUAGUGUGGUAAAUUUCAGCAAACUUAAGUACACAAAUAUAAUGUUCAGGACUAGGCUGAUGAUAGAUCAUUCAUUUCCAUGCAUUUGGUCAUGAUGUCUUGAGAAAAGCUUGAAGGUCUUUCCUUAACAUAAAUUUUGGAUGACUAUUAAUUUCGUCCAACAAUGGGGCACGUUCGGUGUAGUACUAGAUUUGUAGUAAUGAGCUGAAUUUUUGUAUGGUGAGAAGGUCAAGUCUCCGUUUCUGCAAUAAAAUGGUGCAAAAGCGUGGGUAUUAUGAUUCCUUGCCUAAUUUGAUGCCGUUUGAGCAAAACUUUGGAUAACUAUAUUAUUUAAGUUGCAAGAAAUGGAGAAAAUAACAACACUGUUGCCCAAAGUUUUGCUCAAACAGCAUCAAAUUAGGCAAGGAAUCAUAAUACCCACGCUUUUUGCACCAUUUCAUUGCAGAAACGGAGAAUUGACCUUCUCACCAUACUAAAAUUCAGCUCAUUACUUCAAAUCUAGUACUUCACCGAUCUGUCCUAUUGAAAAAAAAGUGCCUUUGGUGCAAAAACUUUAUAAAAAAUUUCUGAAUGUCGAUCAAAAGUUACUUACCUUUUUCAAAAUUUUCCAUUAAAGACAAGGUAUUUGGAGUACACAGCUCCAAUAACAUCAUUUUCGAGAUAUGAUUUACUUGCACAUAACCAAAAAUUUGCAGAAGUAUUCUGUGAUAGUGACGUUAGUAAAAAAUGCCGUCCCGAAAAGCAGAAUACAACAUAAAGACUGGGAAGUUAUUCUGGGUAAUAGGAUUUUUGAAAUAUUUACUUUCAGUUACCUACAAGCUGUUGGUAGAAUCAAAAACUGAACUGGAGUAUAGAAAAUCCAAUCAUCUAUUUUUGAAUCUUAACCAAGAAUUUGAAUCUUAACCAAGAAACUCCGAGAAAUUAAAUAUUUGAUAAAAAUCAAAAUUUAAAUUGUUUAAGAGGAUACCAGAAUUCCAAGAAUAUUCGAAGGUUGGUAUAA
Long non-coding RNA from Aedes albopictus (Asian tiger mosquito), 3492 nucleotides. RefSeq lists it as uncharacterized. NCBI's taxonomy places the organism in Eukaryota, Metazoa, Arthropoda, Insecta, Diptera, Culicidae. The record is from RefSeq and is a predicted model, not a curated record. The transcript is spliced from 3 exons.